UUGAACGCUGGCGGCAGGCCUAACACAUGCAAGUCGCGCGGAUGAAGGGAGCUUGCUCCUGGAUUCAGCGGCGGACGGGUGAGUAAUGCCUAGGAAUCUGUCUGGUAGUGGGGGAUAACGUCCGGAAACGGGCGCUAAUACCGCAUACGUCCUGAGGGAGAAAGUGGGGGAUCUUCGGACCUCACGCUAUCAGAUGAGCCUAGGUCGGAUUAGCUAGUUGGUGGGGUAAAGGCCUACCAAGGCGACGAUCCGUAACUGGUCUGAGAGGAUGAUCAGUCACACUGGAACUGAGACACGGUCCAGACUCCUACGGGAGGCAGCAGUGGGGAAUAUUGGACAAUGGGCGAAAGCCUGAUCCAGCCAUGCCGCGUGUGUGAAGAAGGUCUUCGGAUUGUAAAGCACUUUAAGUUGGGAGGAAGGGCAGUAAGUUAAUACCUUGCUGUUUUGACGUUACCAACAGAAUAAGCACCGGCUAACUUCGUG
Molecule: ribosomal RNA, 483 nt
Filed under: uncultured bacterium
Lineage: Bacteria
Description: partial 16S ribosomal RNA
Rfam family: Bacterial small subunit ribosomal RNA
Source: RNAcentral